AAAGCGAGUCAUUCUUAAAUUAAUGCAAACAUCGCAAGGGGUUUGUAUUCAACUGUGGGUUCCCCUUAACUGAUGACAAAACGGUUUAUCCCACUCACUGUCUUGUAGGUUUAGAAAUGAAACAAUGAAAAUGCUGAUCAGAAUACCUCUUGAAAAAUGUAUCAAAUUGACGUCCAUACUGUAGGAACAUUAAUUAUUAGUUCUACGGCAGUUAUGGUCAUUGUUGCAGAAGCUCGAUUUCUCUUACAAGUUUGUUAGGAGAUAGUACGAUUCAACCCGGGGGUAUCUAAGUCUCACCAUCAUACUAUGUUAAACAAUGAAAUGAAGCAAGAUAUAUGCCCAGAACAAUUUAAUGGUCAAGAUUAUUUCCAAGAAAGUGAUUGGUCGUCAAAUUAAAUUUUAGAUCUAUAUACAGAGAGUGCCGUUUCUGCACAUCUGGGUUGUGGAGCAUACUUUUCAGGGCAAUGGUGCUAUUUCCCUUAGCCACGUGAAUGGGUGACUACAGUUCUUCAGAUGUAUUGUAUGACAUGACAACACUAGAUCUUAUCCCAGUAGUUUUGGCUGUCAGUUUAUGUGGUAGUCAACUUGCAAAUAGGAGAAUACAGUUUUAUAUUGAUAAUGAGGCAUUGGUUAUGGUUUUGAACAUACAGUCCUCAAAAUCCAGUAGAGUGAUGAGAUUAAUUCGUUCAUUUGUGUUAGACUGCUUUUAAACAAUAUAAUUUUUCGUGCUGUUCACUUCCUUACUAGUUAUAACAGUAGUGCCGAUUCAAUUUCUCGUCAGAAGUGGCACCAUUUCUGGCAAACUGCACCACAUAACAUCACCACAACUUGUACCAAUCGAAUUCCAGAACCUCAUAUCUAGCAUAAAUUAAACAAGUUGUUAGGGGCAGCAUUUUCUGAAAACACUAGCAAGGCUUAUUAAUUAGGCGUAUAAGAGCAUACUUCAGCUGCUGCUUGCAACAAAGAUUAAAGACUAUUUGGCUCCCCCUUGUUAUUUGAUUGUUAGAUUUGUUGCACACUGGUCAAUUAAAGGCCUUGUGUUUUCGACAUUUCGUCCUAACUUAGCUUCCGUUUCUUAUAAUUGCAAACUUCAAGAUCACAUAGACCUAACAGAAGAGUUCAUACUUAAAAGUUGCUACAGGGGUUAAAAAGCACAGCUCACAGCAUUGACAAUAGGUUGCCCAUUAAAAGGUCCAUAUUAAAGCAGAUUCUUAAAAUUUUACCCUGCGUAUGUACAAAUUCAUAUGAGGUAUCAUUAAUUGUUUUCUAUUCUAUACUAAAACUUUCUUUAAAAACAAAAUUAUGCAGUCUCCGACGAAUCCUCAGAUGGAGUUGUUGCCAAUACAGAAACUCAAUUUGACGGCACAUCAUUAAUUAAUUAAAAAAAAAAAAAGACGGACCAAUAUGGAAGGGUAACGACUUUGCAGAUACAUGACACAGAGGAUUUAAUUUGCCCCUGCACUAAUCUUCAAAGGUUUUUAGAAAUAAGACCUACCCAAAGGGUCAAUUAUUUUGUCAAUUUUUCCGGAUCUCCUUUCACUAAGUACCAUUUUACUUUGAAUUUAGCCAAACCAUAAGUCUUAAACCUCGAGUCUUGGGACAACAGAUCCCACUUCUUUCGUAUUGGGGCAAGUACGGAAUUGGGGAUUUCAUCUCAAAUUAUCCAUAGAGGGAAACAACAGUGACAAAUUAAAGAAUGUCAGGUUUAAAUACUUGAAAUUUAUUAAGGAGAUUCAAUUUCCUCUUGUGCACUUAAUAUGGUCUCAUAUUCUGCUCGUAUUAAUUGGCAUUGGGUUUAAUGCAUUUUUCUUUAACAAAGUUUGUGAAGUUGGGGAUUCUGUAAUCCACUAUCCUGACAUCAAAAAGCCAAGCCAAGAUUAUCUGAAAGGGAUGGGGACAUUUAUCCAA
Long non-coding RNA from Saccostrea cuccullata (small rock oyster), 1908 nucleotides. RefSeq lists it as uncharacterized. The transcript is spliced from 2 exons. The record is from RefSeq and is a predicted model, not a curated record. NCBI's taxonomy places the organism in Eukaryota, Metazoa, Mollusca, Bivalvia, Ostreida, Ostreidae.